AGUAAUCAAAGGGCAAGCUUCUUCUUACUGAAAAGGGAAGUAAUUUUUUUCCCCCUGAUUUGUCAGUGCACAGUUUGUCUUUAAAAUGUCAGUUUAGGGAGGGUGGAGCCAAGAUGGCCGAAUAGGAACAGCUCCGGUCUCCAGCUCCCAGCCCCAGCGACACAGAAGACGGGUGAUUUCUGCAUUUCUGCUUGAGUGCCUUUACUAAUCGAAUUGAUCAACGUGGUGACUUGCCACCUCCUGACCAGUCCUAGAAUGCCUGGUUUAGCCCACUCGUGGGAAUGGCCACCUUCAAACAGCAAGUGUAUGAUGCUGAGACAGGACUGGGGCAGAAAGCCAGCUCCUCCAAUGUAUCAGGCACUAUGAUGGAUUCUGGAGUUUCAAUGUUGAAUAAGAAACGCUGUCUACAUUUGAUGAGCUUGAACAACGUGUAUUAGCUCAUAUAAGUCUUUCAACAACCAAAGAGCAGUUUUCCUCCCUUGAGGCAUGAAAAAUCUAAGGUCUGGUUUGAAUGGAGGAAGAAAAACGGGGAAAGAAGACAUUACCAAGGGCAAAAAGCACACAGAUAAUAUACCAAAAAUUAUCUUGAAACAUAGAAAAUUUAUUGGAAGAGCAAAGAUAAUUAUCAGAUUAACAUUCAUAAAAGGGGAAUUAAGACAUCUUUUUAAAGAAAUUCAAAGAUUGGGUAGAUAAAAAAUGAAUAAGAACAUAGAAUACACGAACAACACAAUUAAGACUGAUGAAACAUUCACACAUAUGUACAACACUGUAUUCAACAUAGAACAGUUCUGUCAGCCUCUGAGCCCAAGCUAAGACAUCAUAUCCCCUGUGACCUGCAUGUAUACAUCCAGAUGACCUGAAGCAACUGUAGAAUCAUAAAAGAAGUGAAAAUGGCUGGUUCCUGCCUUAACUGAUGACAUCACCUUGUGAAAUUCCUUCUCCUGGCUCAGAAGCUCUCCCACUGAACACCUUGUGACUCCUGCCCCUGCCCACCAGAGAACAACCCCUUUGACUGUAAUUUUCCAUUAUCUAACCAAAUCCUGUAAAACUGCCCCACCCCUAUCUCCCUUUGCUGACUCUCUUUUCGGACUCAGCCCACCUGCACCCAGGUGAUUAAAAAGCUUUAUUGCUCACAC
Long non-coding RNA from Symphalangus syndactylus (siamang), 1136 nucleotides. RefSeq lists it as uncharacterized. NCBI's taxonomy places the organism in Eukaryota, Metazoa, Chordata, Mammalia, Primates, Hylobatidae. The record is from RefSeq and is a predicted model, not a curated record.